This is a long non-coding RNA of Hemiscyllium ocellatum (epaulette shark), 2788 nucleotides long. RefSeq lists it as uncharacterized. NCBI's taxonomy places the organism in Eukaryota, Metazoa, Chordata, Chondrichthyes, Orectolobiformes, Hemiscylliidae. The transcript is spliced from 3 exons. The record is from RefSeq and is a predicted model, not a curated record.
GGGCGCAAACUCAGUUUGAAAACAGCACCCCCCCCCCCAAUGUCCCAGCAGAAAAUGGCCGAUGGGGGGGGGGUGAGGAAUAGGACUUGGAAAACGCUCUUUGUAUAAUCGGGUUCCAGGAUGAUCGCUUGAAAGGAUCUCAAAAAUAUGUUGAUAAUAAUCACAAUUCAGGUCUGGUGUGUGGAUAGAGACACUGGUUUGUCGAGUUGAGGAGAAUUCGGGGAGGGGGGGGGGGGAGGAGGUUGUUGGUUGAAGACAAGAGACCAUUAAAGAUAAAGCCGAGGAUAAAGAGACAGAACCAGUAGGUUCACUUACUUGUCCGUCUCCUGUGACAUAUUCCUCCGGCUCCUCUUGCGAAACUGGACUUUCAAGUCGGUGCGGUACGGUCUGACGGCAGAACCUGGGCUACAGGCUGAGCGCUUUCAGAUUCCAGGAGGCGGUACCGACGUGGAAACCAGGUCCUUUCAAUUCUUGAUCAAGAAUCCAAUCCAAGGUGAUGGUCUGAAAGAAUCUUCUUUCUACUGAUUAUAAGUGAUCUGCAUUAAUGGAUUAUCUUAUUGCCUCUACCUACCUUUGGUGGGUGCUAUCUGGACCACUGCUCCAACGGAUAACUCAAUGUUAUGAAUGUGGACUGACUAAACAAAGCUGAUCUGUGAUAUUUAGGUACCUUUGUUCUAAGCACUGUAUAUACCCCAAAUAAUAUUGUUUCCGAUACAUUUCUGUUUAAAUAAACAAAGAUGUUUACACACAUGGACAGGAAUGUUAGCAGAGUGCUGUAUUUUAUUGCUAGAAGAAGCAAUCCAUUUUCUUUUUAACUCUUGGUAUCUGCAGAUCAUGAAUGGAGGAAAACAGAAGGAGUGUGAUUUUAUGAAUUUCUGUUAACGUGAAAAGCAGACCAAUUUGUCAGCUCAUCAGUGUUACGUUUAGUCAACAUUUAGAAUAAAAAGGCCUAAAAGCUCCUUCCGCAACCACAUCUUCUGGAAGCCAAAAUGACUGGCAGUAGAUUUGACCAUUAUUGUGAGACCAGUCCUUUUUAUGAUCCUUCAGCUGCGUACAUUGAGGCCCAUUUUAGAUUGCCGCACUGCUAACUCAGCACAUACUCUGCAAUAAAAUCCUCUUGUUCAAUGUGAAUGCUGGAAAGGUUUUUUACAUUGGUGACAAAGUAUAGGAAACAUCAAACAUGACUCAGCCUUUCCAAGCCAUCAAUCAACUGCAUCCCAUUUGUUCUUAAAUUUGGCAACAUAAUCCAGCUUCAGUAUUCCUCUCAGCAGUCAUUUCCACGCAUUCACCGCCCUCUGUAUAAACACAUUCAAUUUAAAUUAUCCGUCUCUUUCUGACCUUCAGUCAGUGCAACCUUUUAAGGUGUGACAACUAAAAGCAUUUUUCAGGUUCAAUUUAUCCAACCCUAUCUCUGAGUCUUGAAUACUUCAGUAAGAUUUCCCUCUGCUUUCACUUCUCGAACCACAAUGUCCAGAUUUUAUAGCUUCUUCAGCUCAAGUGUCUAAAACCUGAUGCAAAUUUACUCACUCUUUGAUGUUCGCCUGUCCAAGGUCAAAAAAAGUCUCAACAGCAAUUACAUAUAUGGAAUUGAACCAACAUGUUUUAGAAACUCACUAUCGUGAAUUGGAACUGCUACCAUAGCCCUCUCUGUAGUUAUCCUAGGAUUUUCCUCAUUUACUGAUGCUACAUUCUAUGUUCACAGUUUUAAUGAUCACUAAUACCCCGGACCUUCUUGUAAGUUUUGCCAUGAGUGCGUUUGUAUCUGAGUCUUCAGAGGCCAGAGUGACUAACUCAGGAAAGAAAAUAAGAGUCACUUUGGCAUGAAGUUACCUUGUGAGUCUGUGGACUAUAAGGAAUGCUGAUGAGACCUUUGGUGGGUGUUCUCUGGACCACGGGUACUGGGGGAAGCACCUGUCCAGAAGUGUGGGGAAGGGUGUGUACCCUCUCAAACAGUCGAAGCAGAGGGUGACUGUCCAUACGGGUGAGUGGGUCACUGGGAGAACACCACAUUGCGUGUUUAUAGGUAUUUAUUUGCAAACAUCAUGGGUGUUGGGGAAACAGAGGGGACCAACAAGAAGUCUCCAAAUCUGUGGAUGACAUGGUGGCUUAGAGGUUGGCAAUGCUGUCUCACAGCAGCAGGGACCAGGGUUUGAUUCCAGCCUUGGAUGAUUGUCUGUGGGGAGUUUUUACGUUCUCCCUGUGUCUGUGUGGAUUUCUACUGGGUUCUCCGAUUUCCUCCCAUAGUCCUUUGCUGUGCAGGUUAGGUGGAUUAGCCAUGGUAAAUGCAGGGUUACAGGGAUAGGUAGAGGGCUGGGAUGUUCAUUGAGGGUCAGUAUGGACUUGAUGGGAUGAAUGGCCACUUUCCAUGCUGUAGGGAUUCUAUGAUUCUUCAACCACAGUUUCAAAACUGGAACGAGUAGUGUCCAGGCAGCAAACAAUCCAAGACACAAGAUGACCACUUCAAAUAAGGGGCAGUUCCAUAAAAUCCAGGGCUGCUGACCACUUUGUCUGAAAUGCCACCAGCCACCCUCCUCCAGUCCUCUCAGAUCUUUGUGUUGUUCUGACUCUGAAUUGCUAGAUCAUCCCUGAUUUUCAUUGCUCCACUAUUGGUAGCCAUGCUUUCAGCUGACUAUACACUUAGCUCUAGGAUUCUCUCUCCAAAUCUUUCAGCCUCUCUUCAUAUAAGACACUCCUUAAAAUCUACCUUUUUGACAAAGUAUUUGGUCCUCAGUCCUAAUAACUGCUUCAAUUGCUUGCUGUCAAAUUUGGUUUGAUGAUAUUCCUAUGA